Long non-coding RNA from Acinonyx jubatus (cheetah), 529 nucleotides. RefSeq lists it as uncharacterized. The transcript is spliced from 2 exons. The record is from RefSeq and is a predicted model, not a curated record. NCBI's taxonomy places the organism in Eukaryota, Metazoa, Chordata, Mammalia, Carnivora, Felidae.
AGGGGGGGAAAAGUCACAUUAAACUUUUUCUGGUUGAAAGGCCUUAUCUUGCUUGCCACCGUGGUGUAUUCGAAGACUGGCGUGGGUCUUUGUUCCCAGUUCUCCAAGUUAUCGGACGAAAGGCCGUCUCCCAUUCUCAUUUUGUACAUCUGCAUCCCGGGAGCCAGCAAAUCCCUCUGAAAGUGUCGCUGUCGAGGUUAAGGGGUCCUGCCCGACGAGAACGAGGCUUGGUGAGCAAUUUUCGAAGAAAAAUUUCCGAACCUCUGACCCGAAGGAGAGAUGCGGCGCCCAGAAGACUGGACCGAACGAUAUUGGGGAACCGGGCUUUCAAACCGAUCCGGAGGAAAUUGAACACACCGCACUGAGGUGCGGAUGUGAAACGUGAACGGAAAGAAACCCGGGAGUUCCUUGGGGAGAGCGAACAAAGGAGGGGACGGGGUAAAAGACGGAACACCACCCCCCACCUCAAUUUUGUGUCAAUCGAAUGUCGUUUAGAAUUGGAAUAAAGGUCAUUUAAGAUUUUUCUCGA